GCAACUGAACCCUGGUUGCAUCAGCGCGUUGAGUAGCACUUACCGGCGGAGUUACAUGCUGUUAGAUAUUUACAUUUUCUUGUAAUUUCCAGUACUUUAUCAAGUUAUAUCUAGGUAUUUCAGUCCACAAGCAGUUGAAUUAGAGGCAGCUAGAUGAAACUAUUCGUGAGUGACGGAAAUCCGCACUGUGUUAAAGUGCUAGCAGUGCUCGAAUUUACGGGAGUCAAAUGUGACGUUAAACAUGUCAACCACGAAGAGCGAGUGGUGCCCUACCUCAGCCGUCCAGCCCUGCCUGCCCUGCUCCUCCCCAGUGGAACACACCUCUUCAGCCCCAACUCCAUCUGCCAGUACCUGAUAGAGCUGAAUGGACAGGAAUCCAGUGAUAUCGUCAACCAGUGGCUGGAAUGGGAAGCUACAGAACUACAGCCUGCAGUGAUGCAUGCCCUUCACAUGGUGGUGCUGCAGGGAAAAGGAGCAGAAACCCCCAGGGUUCUACAGGGACCUCUCAGCUACCUGGACCAGAGUCUGAGCCAGAGGACCACGCUGUUCCUCACUGCUGAGAUGGUUUCUGUGGCAGAUGUGGUUCUGUGGGCAGCUCUCUACCCUAUCCUGUCUGACAGCAGUCUGGUAUCAGGUAAUCAGACGCUGCAGCUGUGGUUUGAGCGUGUGGGCAUGUUGGCAGCCUGUGUGUCUGCAGCCCAGACUGUACUUCAGGGGAAGGGACUGAAGGCGGAGUCUCUGAAGACCUACCUGCAGAGACAGCCAACCACACACCAUGGUCAGGGACAGGUUCAGGGUAGAGGCACACAGCCAUGCAACAGCCCUGAGGGUGAUGAUGAUGAUGAUGAUUGUGUGCUGUCAGAGGAAGAGAUCCAGUCUGCCGCUGUCACCUGGGGUAAAGGACUUACAGACUUACCCAUGGUUCCAGAGAGACAACACCCUAUUCUUCCUCAGGAGGGCAAGAGGAACGUCCUAGUGACCAGUGCCUUGCCUUAUGUUAACAACGUCCCUCAUCUGGGCAACAUCAUCGGCUGUGUGCUCAGCGCUGACGUCUUUGCCAGGUAUGGUCGUCUGCGUGGUUGGAAUGUACUGUAUGUGUGUGGGACUGAUGAGUACGGCACAGCUACAGAGAACAAGGCCCGUGAGGAAGGUCUGACAGCACAGCAGAUCUGUGACAAGUACCAUGCUGUCCACGCCUCCAUCUACCAGUGGUUCCAGGUCGACUUUGACUUCUUUGGCCGCACCACCACAAAGAAGCAGACUGAGAUAGCCCAGAACAUCUUCUGGCGUCUCCAUGAGCGAGGCUUCCUACUUGAAGACAUUGUGGAGCAGCUGCGCUGCGAGGCGUGCCAGCGUUUUCUAGCCGACCGCUUCGUCGAGGGAACAUGUCCCUUCUGCUCUUACCCAGAGGCCCGAGGGGACCAGUGUGACAAGUGUGGCAAGCUUAUCAACGCUGUGGAGCUACGGGAGCCUACUUGUAAGGUGUGUAGUCAGACUCCUGUAGUCCAAUCCUCCAAACACCUGUUCCUGGACCUGCCCAAGUUGGAGGCUGAGUUGGAGCAGUGGUUGGAGAGGUCUACUGGGUCAGGGGACUGGACGGCCAAUGCCAAACAGAUCACCAGAUCCUGGGUGAGGGACGGACUCAAACCCCGCUGCAUCACCAGAGACUUGAAGUGGGGAACCCCUGUACCUCACCCCGACUUCUCUGACAAGGUGUUCUACGUGUGGUUUGACGCUCCUAUUGGUUACCUGUCCAUCACAGCCAACUACACUGACCAAUGGGAGAAGUGGUGGAAGAACCCACAGCAGGUGGAGCUGUAUAACUUCAUGGCCAAGGACAAUGUUCCGUUCCACAGUGUGGUGUUCCCCUGCUCUCUACUGGGAGCACAGGACAACUAUACACUGGUCAACCACCUGGUGGCUACAGAGUACCUGAACUACGAGGACACCAAGUUCUCUAAGAGUCGAGGUGUUGGUGUGUUUGGUGACAUGGCCAAGGAUACGGGCAUCCCCUCUGACGUGUGGCGAUUCUACCUGCUGUACCUCCGUCCCGAGGGACAGGACUCGGCCUUCUCCUGGGUCGACAUGGCCACCAAGAACAACUCUGAGCUGCUCAAUAACCUGGGCAACUUCAUCAACAGGGCUGGUAUGUUUGUCAGUAAGUUCUUUGAGAGCUGUGUCCCUGCCAUGGCUCUUCAGCAGGAGGACAAGAGACUGUUGGCUCAGGUGGGAUGGGAGCUGAAGCAGUACAUUAACCUCAUGGACAGAGUCAAGAUCCGGGAUGCCCUGAAGUGUAUCCUCAACAUCUCUCGCCACGGUAACCAGUACAUCCAGGUCAACGAACCCUGGAAGAAAAUUAAAGGAGACGAAACAGACAGGCAGCGAUCGGGUACAGUGACAGGUGUGUCUGUGAAUGUGGCGUGCCUGCUGUCCGUCAUGCUCCAGCCCUACAUGCCAACGGUCAGUCACACCAUCCGCCAGCAGCUGAACGCUCCGCCCUCCGUUACCGGGACCCUGCUGCAGGGCACAGGGAACUUCGUCUGCUCUCUGCCCGCCGGGCAUCACAUUGGCACGGUCAGCCCGUUGUUCCAGAAACUAGAGUCCGAACAGAUCGAGUCUCUGAAGAAGAGGUUUGGAGGACAGCAGCCAGAGGAGGAGGAAGAAGCCAAACCGAAGCCAAAGACGACAGCCCAGCCUGAUGUCAACGCCCAGCCUGCUACGACCCCAGCUUCAGAUCCGGCUGCUCAGACUGCAGUGAACGGUGCAGACGCUGAGAGAGCCAGGGAGUUAACACUGGCUGUGGCAGAACAGGCGGAGAAGGUCCGGACCCUGAAGGGCCAGAAGGCAGAGAAAACUGUGAUUGGAGCAGAGGUCACCAAACUACUGGAACUGAAGAAACAGCUGUCCCUGGCUGAGGGAAAGGACCCAGAACCAGUGCUGACAAAAGGGAAGAAGAACGCCCAGCCUGCUACAACCCCAGCUUCAGAUCCGGCUGCUCAGACUGCAGUGAACGGUGCAGACGCUGAGAGAGCCAGGGAGUUAACACUGGCUGUGGCAGAACAGGCGGAGAAGGUCCGGACCCUGAAGGGCCAGAAGGCAGAGAAAACUGUGAUUGGAGCAGAGGUCACCAAACUACUGGAACUGAAGAAACAGCUGUCCCUGGCUGAGGGAAAGGACCCAGAACCAGUGCUGACAAAAGGGAAGAAGAACGCCCAGCCUGCUACAACCCCAGCUUCAGAUCCGGCUGCUCAGACUGCAGUGAACGGUGCAGACGCUGAGAGAGCCAGGGAGUUAACACUGGCUGUGGCAGAACAGGGCGAGAAGGUCCGGACCCUGAAGGGCCAGAAGGCAGAGAAAACUGUGAUUGGAGCAGAGGUCACCAAACUACUGGAACUGAAGAAACAGCUGUCCCUGGCUGAGGGAAAGAACCCGGAACCAGUGCUGACAAAAGGGAAAAAGAAGUGAUUAGAAAGAGAGAGAAGACCGACAAGAGACUGGACAAAUAUGAGAGAAGUAGAGGCAAGAUUUGAAUAAUAAUAAGAAGAAAUAUGAGACACAUAAACAACAUCUGUGACAGGAUGGAAGACGAUGUUUUGUUGCUUAUGGGGACAGAGUAAUAGGAAAGAUCAGUAAUCGAAGAGGGAGGGGGGGGGGGGUAAAAUUCAAAACUGCUACAAAAUAUUCAGUCAAGACCAUUUCUACAUCUCUUUACUCGAAGUAGCAGGUUCUAGUAGGCUGCUGGCUCGGUGAGUUCCCCGUCCUUUUAUCACGGUAUCGUGAAGAGAGAUAAAAUGGUGUUGCUGCGACCAGGCUGGUGGCACCCGGCUACGGUUCUACUGUCACUAUGCAGCCAGUAGUUCAGGUCAGUGUGUGUAGAACGAUGUCUGCAUAAUGAUAUUGUAAUAUUGUUAUAUAAAAAAAUAUAAAAAGAAAAGUCAUGUUUUUACAUAUUCCCACUUCCCAUUUAUUGAAUCAAAUAAAUACAACAUUUGCUAAAAAAAAAAAAAUCUGCAAAUUCUGUGAUAAAUGGAUUCAGAAACAGAGGCUGAAAUGUUAUUAUUUUCUUAAUUUGACACCUUCAAAGAUUAAAGCGUUUGUUUGGACCUGAUAUUCAUCUCACUUUGCAUUUCAAUCAAAUAGACAUUCCAAGGCAAUAAAAAUGUUUUUAAAGGAUUUCAUUUGCAACUCCAAACAUACAAUAACAAAGUAGUUCCUCGUAAUUUAACAGAAAUAAUUCAACCACUAAACCGAUGCAUCAUUUACAGUGAAAUGUUGAAUCAAUGUGGGUACAGUGAAGGUUUUAUUUCAGUAGAACUGUGUUCGUAUAAUACAGGAGUAUAUCAAAUAUAUAUAUAUGUGAAUCAGGGUAGAGCUCUACAUUGUAAAUAUCACUACCACUAAAUUCAGUCAAUUUGAUAGAAAAAGAUGAGCGUUUUAGGUGUAAAACUAUCCACGUUCUAGGUGUAAAACUAUCCACGUUCUAGGUGUAAAACUAUCCAACGUUCUAGGUGUAAAACUAUCCAACGUUCUAGGUGUAAAACUAUCCAACGUUCUAGGUGUAAAACUAUCCACGUUCUAGGUGUAAAACUAUCCAACGUUCUAGGUGUAAAACUAUCCACGUUCUAGGUGUAAAACUAUCCACGUUCUAGGUGUAAAACUAUCCAACGUUCUAGGUGUAAAACUAUCCACGUUCUAGGUGUAACUAUCCAACACUCUAGGUGUAAAACUAUCCACGUUCUAGGUGUAAAUCCAACGUUCUAGGUGUAAAACUAUCCAACGUUCUAGGUGUAAAUCCAACGUUGUAGGUGUAAAACUAUCCACGUUCUAGGUAUAAAACUAUCCACGCACAGUAAAGCCGUAGCGGCUUAUAUAAGUACUGAGUUACUGACUGACAAACUUUCCUGAGCUCUAUAUUAUUAUUACUAUAUUAUCUAUAUUACUCCACAAACUGGACACGAAAUAUGAUCUCUGAUGGUCUCUGCAGUCUUUAGGUUUGAGGUUGGCGGAUGAGGGAUAGCCUGGUAUUUAGCUACGUUUCCCGGUUGCUUCCCUGGGAAACCAAGGUAGGCUUAGCAUUCAGUCAGGUUUAACCAGGCUAGAUAAAGGAUGUCGUGACAAUGAAAUGCACUGUCCUCGUUUUAGUUCUCACUACCUUCAUACUAGGAAUGAGUCCAACACAAGGUUGUCAGAAUCGCUUCGUUGACGGAGCCCGAUCAAUAAAAAUUCCUACCAAACCCCCCAAUCAAUAACUCCUAGCAAUGGGAAAAAUCAUUUUUAAUAGUUUUUUUUUCGAUUAGCCAUAAUUUUGGAAUCGAUGCCGACACCCCAAAACAAAUCAGAAUUUUCACUAAUCACUUCACUCGGCUUAACGAGCAAAACGCCCAAUCACAAUCGCAUUCGUUAGGGCACCCAACAGAAAACACUUUAAAAUGUUCUGCAACAGAACUGAACAAAUGUUGUUGUUUUUUGUCCAUGUAGUCCCACUUUGUUUCUUUGCAUUUGAUGCUUAAUGAACGUGACCCAUGCAACGCUUGGGAUAGGUGUUGGUUCACAAUCUUCAUAGGUAGAUGCUUCCGAAUCAAUUCCUUCAUUUUUGGAAUCAAAGGCCCCAAUCGGUUAAUUGAAUCUAACCCAUCCGUACUUCAUACUGAACUCUGCGCUAGACUGAAUAACCUAAACGGCCCAAUCAUUCUACGUUAGUUAACCCAUCUGUUUCAAAGAUGCUUCCUGAGACGCUCGGCCCUACAUGUAGAUACAGUACACUGUAACCUCUCAACAGAGAGCAUGACCCAUCCACCUUCUGAAACGUUUCCUCCUUUUCCUCCUGUAUGUCCAUCUGUCUGCCACCGUUCAUCUGUCUGCCAC
This is a non-coding RNA of Oncorhynchus mykiss (rainbow trout), 5865 nucleotides long. The record is from RefSeq and is a predicted model, not a curated record. NCBI's taxonomy places the organism in Eukaryota, Metazoa, Chordata, Actinopteri, Salmoniformes, Salmonidae.